AGCUUCAAUGUGAAAGAACCUUUUUCUUUUUCUCGGAAUGCUCUGUUUUAUAGCCAAGUGGCUCCAGAACACGGUGGACUGACGGCAGCAGAGAACACCCGGCCGAGAGUGUGUCCAGGAGUGACCAGCAGGGCGCGCGCCAGACUCGGAAAUUCCUGUUUUUCCUGGAUCCUUGCUCUUGAAGACAGAGACCAAAACUGAGUAACCCAAUGGAUAUAUUUCAUCUUUCAUUCCUUCCAAGGAGUAGGGAAUUAAUUUAUGUCCUUAUACGAUGAAUGAUUGCUUCUUAAUAAGGAAGAAUUAAAGGAUUAAUUAAAGAAAAUUAUUUCUUAAUAAGUUAUCUACUCUGUGUGUCUUGUGGGUUAAAAGAGGAGAGAAAAGUCAGAAGAUGUUGAAGUCUGAAGAUACUCCAGCAGUUCUUACCCUCUUCACUCUGCUGUACCAUCCCCUGCCCUGACUCCAGCUAAAACUGAUUUUUUGUGUGAAAGGAGUAUUUUAGACUGUAGAUGUGCCCUGAAAUGCCUCAUCUCAGGGAGGGUGAGAAGAGCUUCUCUUAAGCAAGUGUGGUGUCUGCUUCUGGUGCUGUUUAUGGCAGAGCUGGAAACUGUCUUCGAAAUUAACAAUAGAUGUGCAUAA
RNAcentral lists this long non-coding RNA (636 nucleotides) under Vulpes vulpes (red fox). RNAcentral's name for it is "lncRNA (ENSVVUG00000014772.1)". The record is from RNAcentral. Lineage: Eukaryota; Metazoa; Chordata; Mammalia; Carnivora; Canidae.